RNAcentral lists this ribosomal RNA (415 nucleotides) under uncultured crenarchaeote. RNAcentral describes it as "partial 16S ribosomal RNA". It matches the Rfam family "Archaeal small subunit ribosomal RNA", at positions 330 to 747 of the family's 1478-position model. Lineage: Archaea; Thermoproteati; Thermoproteota. The record is from RNAcentral.
GUGCAGCAGUCGCGAAAACUCCGCAAUGCGCGAAAGCGUGACGGGGUCAUCCCGAGUGCCGUCCGCUGAGGAUGGCUUUUCCCUAGUGUAGAUAGCUGGGGGAAUAAGGAGAGGGCAAGUCUGGUGUCAGCCGCCGCGGUAAUACCAGCUCUCCGAGUGGUGGGGAUGUUUAUUGGGCCUGAAGCAUCCGUAGCUGGCUGAGCAAGUUCUCCGUUAAAUCCAGCGAUUUAAUCGUUGGACUGCGGAGGAUACUGUUCGGCUAGGGGGCGGGAGAGGCCGACGGUAUUCUCGGGGUAGGGGUGAAAUCCUAGAAGCCCGGGAAGGCCACCAGUGGCGAAGGCUGUCGGCUAGAACGCGCCCGACGGUGAGGGAUGAAAGCUGGGGGAGCGAACCGGAGUAGAUACCCGUGUAGUCC